RNAcentral lists this transfer RNA (73 nucleotides) under Chlorobiales bacterium. RNAcentral's name for it is "tRNA-Thr". It matches the Rfam family "tRNA". Rfam says of the family: Transfer RNA (tRNA) molecules are approximately 80 nucleotides in length. RNAcentral also lists the same sequence under 3 other names. The record is from RNAcentral. Lineage: Bacteria; Pseudomonadati; Chlorobiota; Chlorobiia; Chlorobiales.
GCCACCUUAGCUCAGUUGGUAGAGCAACUGUUUCGUAAACAGUAGGUCGUGGGUUCAAAUCCCGCAGGUGGCU